Molecule: non-coding RNA, 190 nt
Organism: Cupriavidus basilensis
Lineage: Bacteria; Pseudomonadati; Pseudomonadota; Betaproteobacteria; Burkholderiales; Burkholderiaceae
Source: Rfam
CAUCUGCGCCGUCUUAGGGGAGUAGCUAGCCUCCAGUCCCCCUGGAGGAGCCGACGUCAACAUACUUGGUACAAAAAACCAUGGCGCCGGCGGCCUGAUUGGCUCAGCGAGACCUUUGACUUUUCUGUCCACCAGCUGGGGCUGGCACUGGGCAGCGAAGUCAUUGGUUCGUUUGUUGCCGGCCCCCUUU